Molecule: ribosomal RNA, 673 nt
Filed under: uncultured soil bacterium
Lineage: Bacteria
Description: bacterial SSU rRNA
Rfam family: Bacterial small subunit ribosomal RNA
Source: RNAcentral
GAACGCUGGCGGCGUGCCUAAGACAUGCAAGUCGAGGGGGUUUAGACCCCCGGCGAACGGGUGAGUAACGCGUGGGUACUUCCAACAACUUUGGAAUAUUCUCCCGAAAGGGAGUGCAAUACCAAAUGUGAUCGCAAGAUUAAAGGAGCAAUCCGGUUGUUGCGAGGCCUGCGUCCCAUCAGCUAGUUGGUAGGGUAAAAGCCUACCAAGGCUACGACGGGUAGCGGUACCGAGAGGUAGAACCGCCACACUGGGACUGCGACACGGCCCAGACUCCUACGGGAGGCAGCAGUUUGGAAUUUUGGACAAUGGGCGAAAGCCUGAUCCAGCGACGCCGCGUGCACGAAGAAGGCCUUCGGGUUGUAAAGUGCUUUUGUUGAUGAAAAAUUUUUGAUUGUAAUCAGCGAAUAAGAGGUUGCUAACUCUGUGCCAGCAGCAGUGGUAAUACAGAGACCUCAAGCGUUAUCCGGAAUCAUUGGGCGUAAAGCGUGCCGAUAGGUGGUGUGUAUAGUCUUGGGUAAAAGCCCGAAGCUCAACUUCGGAGUUUGCUUAAGAUACUGACACACUAGAGGGGCAAAGAGGUGCUUGGAACGAGUGGUGUAGUAGUGAAAUGCGUUGAUAUCACUCGGAACACCGAAAGCGAAGGCAGAGCACUGGGUGCCACCUGACACUG